UGGGGAAUAUUGGACAAUGGGCGAAAGCCUGAUCCAGCCAUGCCGCGUGUGUGAAGAAGGUCUUCGGAUUGUAAAGCACUUUAAGUUGGUAGGAAGGGCAGUAAGCGAAUACCUUGCUGCUUUGACGUUACCGACAGAAUAAGCACCGGCUAACUCUGUGCCAGCAGCCGCGGUAAUACAGAGGGUGCAAGCGUUAAUCGGAAUUACUGGGCGUAAAGCGCGCGUAGGUGGUUCGUUAAGUUGAAUGUGAAAGCCCCGGGCUCAACCUGGGAACUGCAUCCAAAACUGGCGAGCUAGAGUAGGGCAGAGGGUGGUGGAAUUUCCUGUGUAGCGGUGAAAUGCGUAGAUAUAGGAAGGAGCACCAGUGGCGAAGGCGACCACCUGGGCUCAUACUGACACUGAGGUGCGAAGGCGUGGGGAGCAAACAGG
This 429-nucleotide ribosomal RNA is filed under the name Pseudomonadota bacterium. RNAcentral describes it as "Proteobacteria bacterium partial 16S ribosomal RNA". It matches the Rfam family "Bacterial small subunit ribosomal RNA", at positions 355 to 776 of the family's 1533-position model. Lineage: Bacteria; Pseudomonadati; Pseudomonadota. The record is from RNAcentral.